UGCAGAAUCCCGUGAACCAUCGAGUCUUUGAACGCAAGUUGCGCCCGAAGCCACUAGGCCGAGGGCACGCCUGCCUGGGCGUCA
RNAcentral lists this ribosomal RNA (84 nucleotides) under Mespilus germanica (medlar). Its description in RNAcentral is "partial 5.8S ribosomal RNA". It matches the Rfam family "5.8S ribosomal RNA", at positions 73 to 154 of the family's 154-position model. Rfam says of the family: 5.8S ribosomal RNA (5.8S rRNA) is a component of the large subunit of the eukaryotic ribosome. It is transcribed by RNA polymerase I as part of the 45S precursor that also contains 18S and 28S rRNA. Functionally, it is thought that 5.8S rRNA may be involved in ribosome translocation. RNAcentral also lists the same sequence under 2 other names. The record is from RNAcentral. Lineage: Eukaryota; Viridiplantae; Streptophyta; Magnoliopsida; Rosales; Rosaceae.